Molecule: ribosomal RNA, 433 nt
Filed under: uncultured bacterium
Lineage: Bacteria
Description: partial 16S ribosomal RNA
Rfam family: Bacterial small subunit ribosomal RNA
Source: RNAcentral
AACGAACGCUGGCGGCAUGCCUAACACAUGCAAGUCGAACGAAGACUUCGGACUUAGUGGCGAACGGGUGCGUAAGGCGAGGGAAUCUGCCCUUGGGUACGGUAUAACUCAGAGAAAUGUGUGCUAAUACCGUAUAAUGUCUUAGGACCAAAGAUUUAUUGCCAAAGGAUGAGCCCGCGUAAUAUUAGCUAGUUGGUGGGGUAAAAGCCUACCAAGGCGACGAUCUUUAGCUGGUCUGAGAGGAUGAUCAGCCACACUGGGACUGAGACACGGCCCAGACUCCUACGGGAGGCAGCAGUUGGGAAUAUUGGACACUGGGCGAAAGCCUGAUCCAGCAAUGCCGCGUGAGUGAUGAAGGCCCUAGGAUUGUAAAGCUCUUUUACCAGGGAUGAUAAUGACGGUACCUGGAGAAUAAGCUCCGGCUAACUCCGUG